This is a long non-coding RNA of Cyprinus carpio carpio, 1973 nucleotides long. The record is from Ensembl. NCBI's taxonomy places the organism in Eukaryota, Metazoa, Chordata, Actinopteri, Cypriniformes, Cyprinidae.
GAAGUCCUGGCCGUUUACUGGCUCGCUGCAUAAUGAAGAGAGACGGAGCUGGAGGAGGCUUGAGGGGGAUGGAGAUGUCUGUUUGGUGAGCGCAUCCUUCAGGAGGACAUUCAUAGCUUUAAUGCUGAAUCUCACAAUGGAUUAGAACGGAAGAUCUGCUGUGAAGCUGUUAGCUGAGGAGAGAGCGUUCUCAUGACGUGGGAUCAGAACCCAAAGGCGCUCUGCCAUACAGCAGGUUCAAGGACGUUACGAGCCGAAAGCGUCUGUGGAAUAGGGUUUAAAUAGUAUUUGUGUUGCAGAGCUCUCCUGCUCGUGUAAUAUUGACUUAAAAGUGGAGCACAAACUGAGCGAGACCUCGCAGACAUUACAGUAUCAGUGGAAGGAACUGAACUGAUCGUUUUCAUUUUGAAUCAGCAGUUUGUCUGGACGAUAAAGGUUAUGUUCACACCGCAGAUUAAUGACGCAGAAACUGGAUUUCAGAACGCCGGGAGUGAGAUGAGCAAACACUGGGCUGCUAACAAGAGCCUGAGGGCUCAGUUAGAUGAAAGAGAUCAGACGCUGAAGGAGCUGCACCAGAGGGUUGGUGUUUCAGAGAGGGAUGUGACGAUGAAGAGGCAGCUGGUGGAGGAUCUCAGAUGCAGACUAUAGAUCUGCCAGAACACUGAGACGAGCCACAGAUCAGCGGCUGAAGACUUGGAGAAGAAAGAAGGUCCUGCUCCGACAACAGCCGCUCUACUAGCAACCUGGAAUUAAUUAUUCUCUCUGCCGUUAUUGAUUGUGUCACUCAUCCACAGUCUGAACGUCCUAGGCUUCUACGUUUCUCUGUCUGUUUAAAAAUAUCGAAGUAAUUGAAUUGCUUUUCUUUUUUUAGAUGGAAUCUCUCACUGAUGAGGCAGCUUACCGAAGAGAAGAUUGACAGAUGCCACUGCAGAACAAAACCAGCAUGAGGCAACCAGCCAAAAACUCAAAGAAGAGCUUCAGAGAAAGGUUCAAGAGCAUCUGUACAUCACUCAGGAAUCGUAAUGCUUUUUUUGGGCUUGUCCUGCGUUGUAUUGCAGGAUGGCUUUUUCUUUCUCUUUCUUUAUUCACCUAAUUACCAUCAGUCUCGUUUGAUGUUUGGCGCCAAAUGCCAUACUUUGCCCCAGUUUCAUCGUUCAGUUCAUUCUAUCCGUUAUAUACUAUCUCCUAAUUGGUGAAACGCUUGUUAAGUGUGUUUAUUCCUCAGGAGCAGAGAAUGGCCGUCCUAGUCAUCACUGGGAAUGUAACGAUUCACUCAACUCGAUUUAUUUUUCUUUUUUUACAAAAUUAGAUUUAAGACAAAUUAUAAAUUAAAUGUGUCCUUUUAUUAUUGCUUGGACAAAAUGCUGCAUGUUUCUUUGUGAAAUUGAAAUGUAACACUAUAAUAAUAUACUAAAAUAGCACUUAUCACUGUUCUUUUGUUGGUUUUGAUUGCUUCUAUUGUCCUCAUUUGUAAGUCGCUUUGGGUUGAAGCAUCUGCUAAAUGACUAAAUCUAAAUAUAAUGUAAAUGUAAAUAACAAAACUAAAUUGAAAUUUAAAAAUAAGUAACACAAAUAAAAGAAAUCUUGGUCUGUGCUCUUUCCAUUUAAAAUGAGAGGCAACCACUGCAUUUUAAUCAUGAGCAGUUUUUAAUCUAAAUUAGAUUGUAUAACUUUAAAUUUAAAGCAAAAACAGAAUGGUUUGACUUCAGUUUUGUGAAACUAUACAUAAAAAAUAUUUGCAUGAAGCAGAAACUGAAACAGCAGAUGAGCUGAACGAGACGCAGAUUCACUCUCUGCCAGCAGGUGGAGCUUAAAGCGUUUCCUUGGUUACCGCUGUAAACAAAGCACUUGUGAACACUGCAGCAGGUGGAGCUUAAAGCGUUUCCUUGGUUACCGCUGUAAACAAAGCAGCGCUGCACUUAUGAACUUUAAUAUGCUUUAUACAGGGGCAAGAUGAAUAGAAAAAAUACCAU